CCUACGGGUGGCAGCAGUGAGGAAUAUUGGUCAAUGGACGAGAGUCUGAACCAGCCAAGUAGCGUGAAGGAUGAAUGCCCUAAGGGUUGUAAACUUCUUUUAUCUAGGAAUAAAAUGAUGCACGAGAGGGUUUUUGUAUGUACUUUAUGAAUAAGCAUCGGCUAACUCCGUGCCAGCAGCCGCGGUAAUACGGAGGAUCCGAGCGUUAUCCGGAUUUAUUGGGUUUAAAGGGGGCGUAGGGGGUUUGUUAAGUCGUUGUGAAAAGUUCGGGGUCAACCCUAAACUUGCAAUUGAUACUGGCAGCCUUGAGUACAGGUGAGGUAGGCGGAAUUCGUGGUGUAGCGGUGAAAUGCUUAGAUAUCACGAAGAACUCCGAUUGCGAAGGCAGCUUACUAGA
Molecule: ribosomal RNA, 397 nt
Filed under: uncultured bacterium
Lineage: Bacteria
Description: partial 16S ribosomal RNA
Rfam family: Bacterial small subunit ribosomal RNA
Source: RNAcentral